GGGAACAAACUACUAAAUGAGGGAAAAGGAGUCUCAUGCAAUCCUGUGCCGUGUCGUCGACCCAUACCAUCGACCUGACCUCACAUUUUCAAAGCUACUUGCACGCUCUUGUGUUUAAUUUCUUCGUUUAAUUAGAUCGAUCAUGACACUGUGCCUAAAGCCCUAAACUAAUGCUACCAAGCUUGCAAGAGUCAGCCGGGAGCCGGCUGGCAUUGCUACUUAGCUUACUCCUAUCACAAAGUAAAUGCCAUUUUAAGCUAACACGUUUAAACUUUGACCGUCAACAUAUCUUGGAAGAUU
This 300-nucleotide long non-coding RNA is filed under the name Setaria viridis. RNAcentral's name for it is "long non-coding RNA (SVIR_LNC008571)". The record is from RNAcentral. Lineage: Eukaryota; Viridiplantae; Streptophyta; Magnoliopsida; Poales; Poaceae.